This 1349-nucleotide ribosomal RNA is filed under the name metagenome. RNAcentral's name for it is "bacterial LSU rRNA". It matches the Rfam family "Bacterial large subunit ribosomal RNA", at positions 1564 to 2925 of the family's 2925-position model. The record is from RNAcentral.
UGAGUACGAGCGGCUACGGCCGCGAAGUGGAUGAUGUCAAGCUUCCAAGAAAAGCCCUAUACCCGUUAAGGCAUGAUGGCCUGUACCCGAAACCGACACAGGUGGGGUGGUAGAGAAUACCGAGGGGCGCGAGGUAACUCUCUCUAAGGAACUCGGCAAAAUGGCCCCGUAACUUCGGGAGAAGGGGUGCCACCGCGAGGUGGUCGCAGUGAAGAGGCCCAGGCGACUGUUUACCAAAAACACAGGUCUCCGCUAAGUCGCAAGACGAUGUAUGGGGGCUGACGCCUGCCCAGUGCCGGAAGGUUAAGGAAGCUGGUCAGCGCAAGCGAAGCUGGCGACUGAAGCCCCGGUGAACGGCGGCCGUAACGAUAACGGUCCUAAGGUAGCGAAAUUCCUUGUCGGGUAAGUUCCGACCCGCACGAAAGGCGUAACGAUCUGGGCGCUGUCUCGGAGAGAGGCUCGGCGAAAUAGAAUUGUCUGUGAAGAUGCGGACUACGUGCACCCGGACAGAAAGACCCUAUGAAGCUUUACUGUAGCUUGGUAUUGUGCUCGGGCUCGGAAUGCGCAGGAUAGGUGGGAGGCUUUGAUCCAUUGCUUGCGGGUGAUGGUGAGCCACUGGUGAGAUACCACUCUUUCCGAGCUAGAGUUCUAACAGCAACCCGUUAUCCGGGUGCUGGACAGUAUCAGGUGGGCAGUUUGACUGGGGCGGUCGCCUCCUAAAAGGUAACGGAGGCGCGCAAAGGUCUGCUCAGGCUGGUUGGAAAUCAGCCGACGAGUGUAAAAGCAGAAGCAGGCUUGACUGUGAGACCUACAAGUCGAACAGGGAGGAAACUCGGCUUUAGUGAUCCGACGGUUCUGCGUGGAAGGGCCGUCGCUCAACGGAUAAAAGUUACUCUAAGGAUAACAGGCUGAUCUCCCCCAAGAGUUCACAUCGACGGGGAGGUUGGCACCUCGAUGUCGGCUCAUCGCAACCUGGGGCUGAAGUCGGUCCCAAGGGUUGGGCUGUUCGCCCAUUAAAGCGGUACGCGAGCUGGGUUCAGAACGUCGUGAGACAGUUCGGUCCAUAUCCGGUGCACGCGCAGGAAUAUUGAGAGGAUUUCUCCCUAGUACGAGAGGACCGGGAGGAACGCACCUCUGGUGUGCCAGUUAUCGUGCCAACGGUAAACGCUGGGUAGCCAUGUGCGGAGUGGAUAACCGCUGAAAGCAUCUAAGUGGGAAGCCCACCUCAAGAUGAGUAUUCCCAUGGCAUAAGCCAGUAAGGUCACGGGAAGAACACCCGUUGAUAGGCUCUACGUGGAAGCGCAGUAAUGUGUGAAGCGGAGGAGUACUAAUAGACCGAGGGCUUGACC